RNAcentral lists this ribosomal RNA (601 nucleotides) under uncultured Ascomycota. RNAcentral describes it as "SSU rRNA". It matches the Rfam family "Eukaryotic small subunit ribosomal RNA", at positions 82 to 686 of the family's 1831-position model. Lineage: Eukaryota; Fungi; Ascomycota. The record is from RNAcentral.
CGAAACUGCGAAUGGCUCAUUAUAUAAGUUAUCGUUUAUUUGAUAGUACCUUACUACUUGGAUAACCGUGGUAAUUCUAGAGCUAAUACAUGCUAAAAAUCCCGACUUCGGAAGGGAUGUAUUUAUUAGAUUAAAAACCAAUGCCCUCCGGGGCUCACUGGUGAUUCAUGAUAACUUCUCGAAUCGCAUGGCCUUGCGCCGGCGAUGGUUCAUUCAAAUUUCUUCCCUAUCAACUUUCGAUGUUUGGGUAUUGGCCAAACAUGGUUGCAACGGGUAACGGAGGGUUAGGGCUCGACCCCGGAGAAGGAGCCUGAGAAACGGCUACUACAUCCAAGGAAGGCAGCAGGCGCGCAAAUUACCCAAUCCCGACUCGGGGAGGUAGUGACAAUAAAUACUGAUACAGGGCUCUUUUGGGUCUUGUAAUUGGAAUGAGUACAAUUUAAAUCCCUUAACGAGGAACAAUUGGAGGGCAAGUCUGGUGCCAGCAGCCGCGGUAAUUCCAGCUCCAAUAGCGUAUAUUAAAGUUGUUGUGGUUAAAAAGCUCGUAGUUGAACCUUGGGCCUGGCUGGCCGGUCCGCCUCACCGCGUGUACUGGUCCGGC